Corvus hawaiiensis (hawaiian crow) is the source of this 2898-nucleotide long non-coding RNA. RefSeq lists it as uncharacterized. NCBI's taxonomy places the organism in Eukaryota, Metazoa, Chordata, Aves, Passeriformes, Corvidae. The transcript is spliced from 2 exons. The record is from RefSeq and is a predicted model, not a curated record.
CCGCGGGCGGACGGGCAGCGCCGGGGACCGCGCUCAGGGACCGCCUGGGCAGCCGUCGGGCCGGGGACUGCGGGGCCGGAGGGCCCGGGAGCGGCCAGCGAUGCCCCGCAGCUUCGCGCCGCUGCCGGAGCCUCCCCGUUCGUGUGCGCCCCGACCGACCCGCCGCCCGCGCCGCGGCUCGGCCGGCAGCCCCAUGGGGAACCGCGGGGUGCGAUGGCAGCUGGCUAUUGCUGCUUUGUUUUUAUGAAAAAAUACCUAAAUUCAGGCAGCACCAGUAGCCUCCCUCGCCCUGCACCACCCUGCCCGGAAUAAUUGGAUGGUCAGGCGACGGAAGAGGCUGCCCAGGGGAGGUGGAGCCACCAUACCUGGAGGUGUUUGAGGCAUCUGGAACUGGCAGUGGAUGAUAUUUAAUGGUUUAGGGGCUACAGUGGCAGUGCUGUGUGGACGCUUGGACUUGAUGAUCUUAAAGGUCUCUUCCAACCUUGAUGACUCUGUGAUUCUUGUUUUCCUACUGAUUUUGUACUUUCAGAACAGAUCAGGCCAAAUUUAUUUGGCAUAGCUCCUGCCUUUGACAAACUCACUGUUAACCCUGUGCCUUGCAAGGCCUUAAAUAAACGCAAAAAAAACCCAACACGCCCUUUUGAAACAAAAAAAUAGGUCCAGGCUUUUCUGAACAGGUAAAAAUAAACACAAAAGGUAUUGAACCAAAUGGAAGAAGCUUUAAACAGAAGAGAGUCAAUUUAGAGUGCCUGGCAAAGGCCCAGUGUUCAGCCACCUAUUUAUAUAACAAAGCCACUUUGUCCUUGUACAUAUUGUUUGAUUUUUAACAGUGAUAUCACUAAUAGAGCUGCAGGGCACAUGGAAUUCUGGGCAUGCCAUACGCACACACCAGCUCCCACAGUGAGCCUGCCUUUGAUGGUGGGCAGGAGAUGUAAUAAUUACCCAGAAUCACAGAAUAUCCUGACCUGGAAGGGACCCACGAGGAUCAUCGAGUUCAACUCCUGCACAGGACACCCCAACAAUCCCACCUUGUGCCUCAGAGCCUUAACCUAAUGAUGACUUGACCUGCAAGUCAGAAUACAUGAAAAUAUGCUGCAGCUGCAAACCCUGCUGUGAUUCCAGUUCUCCGAUGCAUUUCUUUAUGGUGGCCUUGACUUUUAAGAUUUUGUGCCAUCUGAGCACAAGCAAACCCCUAAACACACUGUGUAUGCCGUGGCAGCAACAGCCUGCUACAUUACAGGAGGAAUUUAUCAGUUGCUGUACAAACGCUGUAGUGUGCCAGAUCCUAACUGGAGUUAUAUUCACACGAGUGUCUCCCACAGCCUCACAGGAGACAGAAAAAAUAACUAAAAACGGCUGAGGUAGGAGGGGAGCCGAGCGUUGGUGAGUGCACUCUGCUCCUGGCUGCUCCCCUCAGGAACCGCCUCAGCCAGCACCCGCUCUACGGGGAGAGAUCUGACCGGGGCCUGAGCUUUUAUAUUUUUAAUACUGAGCCCUAUUUCUUCACAGCAACAAAACGCUAGAGCAAAGUAGAAGGAGUAUUACUGUUCCUGAAAAGGCGAAAAGCUGCCUCCCACGCCGGGACCGACACGAGACCACCACGGCCCGUCAGACCUUCCGCUUGACCUCCCGACGCCGCCUCAGCGCGCCCCGCCCGCUGCCUUCGCGCAGCCCCGCCCACCUUCGCGCGCAACCACACCCGCAUCAGCACGUGUCCCCGGAUUCCAAUUCUAUUGGGCGAGACGAGGAGGGCGGGGCUGGACGUUCUAUAAAGGAGAGCGCGGCGGAUUCUGGGCCUCUCUUUCGGCGUGGCUGGCGAGGGCUUGUGCGGCGACCGGCGGCCGGGACCGGCGGCCAAUAAAGCUGUGUUACCCAGAACGUGUCCGGCUGGUUCUUCCGCGCGUGCCUGCACUGCCUUUGACCCGGCGGUGCCCGCCUAGCGCCGCCGGCCAAGCAGCGGUGCUACAGCGAAGCGCUUGUUAAUAACUGGCGCUGCUCGGCCCGACCCGGGCGGCGCUUUUAAAAGCAAGUGACAUUGUUUGCGAGCUUGCGUCACCCUUCCGGGGAUACGGCGGCGGGGGGGCGCGCAUUGCUCCGGAUCCUGCUGCUUGCGCUUCCUGCAAGGAGGAGCCUGUUCCUGACGGGAGGGCGGUGUCGGGGCCAAAGCAGAGUCGGUUCCAUGCGACUCAAGCUAGCCGACGCCACGGCCGUAGUUUUAAGUAGUUCAGGAUUCAGUUGUAAAAAGGACUUAAAUGGUUAGAAAAGUCCUGGGAUUCCUGCCUAGCUUGUUGCAGGAGUAAAGCAGCUGGGUGAAUGAGCUUGGAGCAUCCAGGGCUGGGGGUCGUGUACAUAUAUGGUGCAAAACAAAAUGAGAAUUUGACUACCAUGACUAAGCUGCAGCAUUUUAAAGGGCCAUUCUUUCUUAGAUGUGUUAAUACCAGGAAGUACAGCAUUUUCUGUAAAUACAAAAGAUCUGAACAACAGGGAUGCCAGGAAUAGGGCAGAGUCUAGGCAGACUAAGGAAUAAUUAACCUCACAGAGACUCUUCAGGGUAGCAGAAGUGGAUGCAUGUCUGCUCUGUUCUGUAACUGGUGGUAAUCCUUUCAGUUUUGCCAGUUAUGCAAACGUUUUUAAAGCAUAGUUCUCAUAUGAAUACUAACUGCUUUGGUGAAGCUUAGUUUCAUGACAAUAAAACUUAAAUUUAGCUUUUCCUUUUAAAGCUCGGCAUUGGUUAACCCUGAAACUGUCAUAUGCCACAAUGACCAAGUACCUGUAUAUAAAAGUCCACAAGGCACAGGGCAUGCUCAUGUUAGGAAGCUGCCUUUCUGAAGUUUUUUAAACAACUUGCACUAGAUAGUGGCUAAAUGCUGUAGAAAUAAAAUUUACUGAUUUGUUCGA